Nicotiana tabacum (common tobacco) is the source of this 3834-nucleotide non-coding RNA. Lineage: Eukaryota; Viridiplantae; Streptophyta; Magnoliopsida; Solanales; Solanaceae. The record is from RefSeq and is a predicted model, not a curated record.
UCCUAAUUUUCCUUUAUCAUAUGAUCUUAAUUAGUUUCUUCUUCUCUCUUCCCUUUUUUUCACGUUUCGUCUCUGUUUCCUACUUCUUGCAAAAAAAAAUUCUUUGGUUUCUUGCAGAAUUUUGGAUUUUGAUAGUUUUGGUCUUUGAACUGAUCUUUAUGAAGAAUCUUUAGAACUUUCCGGGAUUUUCUGUUGUCUUUGAGUUUUUGUUUUUAAUUAUUAUUAUUUGUUGCGUUCAUAUCCAAAUAUUUAUAAAAAGCCUUUCAAAUAUUUUAAAAGAUUAUUUCAGUCAAAAAAAUGGUUGAAGUUUUAGAUUAUCUAUCACUGAGAAGUAUAAAGCACAUGUACUAUAUUUGUUGCUUAAUAGUUAUUCUAAUGGGCACCUUAUGUAGAUUUUGAACCUCCUUGACCACUAAACUACACUUUUAGAUUGUGUUAAGGGGGUUCAAAACUUAAUAUAUAGAGGUAAAAAACAGAUUUUGCCUUAUAUAUACAGUGUAUUUUUUCGGCGAAGAUGAACCCCCUUGCGCCCCCCUAAAUCCGCCCAUGCUAAUGGGCUCUCUGUGUUGGCUGCUAAUUUCUUUCUCUUUGACUAUGUUAGUGUGUGUACUAUGUGCCGCCCUUUAUAUAAGGUUAUGUGCUCUGUAUUUUCAACAACAACUUCUGAUAUGAAUUCUUAACGGUCAUGUCUUCUUCUUCUUUCUUUUCUUUCGUAAUUUUGUCAUCUUUUCUUCUCUAUUUGUAUAUAUGUAUAAUAUAGCUUGAGCCUCUGUCUUUUGAGUUAUUUUGCAAUCUUUAUUUGUCAUUGCACUUAUCUAUCUGUACUCAGUUUUCUUUUGAAUAAUGACUAGCUAAAACUUUUACAUGAUGUUCCUGAUUUCUGCUUACCUUGUGUUUUUCUGAUAUAUUUUAUCACUGUUACCAAGAUAUCAUGGCGCUAAUAGGCAACAUCAAUCAAAUAAUGAUCGUGACACCAGAUUGGAAAUGUAAAGUCCAGAUUGUUGACAUAGGUCGAGAAUGAGAAAGUGAGAAAAAAAGAAGAUUUCUAAAUCUUAUUUUAGAAGAUGAAGAGGUAAUUUCAUCUAUCGUUCGUAUAAUGUAAUCGAAUUUUUAUAAUUAUAAGUUAGCUGCAUUUCUGACGAAUAUUGACACUUCAUAGGAGCAAUAAAUUAGAGGGAUCACUUGGGCAAUGACAUUUAAUAUUAUGCCGACAAGCUUAAGCUCUUCCACACAUACUUAAUCUCCACUACAAGAGUUAAAAUUUCAUCCACUUUAUACUUAAGACUUUCACACAAAUUUUAUUGUGUGCUUGAUAGAAAAAUUAUAGUGGAACCAAAAUAGUGAUAGAGGUAUACUAAUGCCACCAUCAAGCAAGUUGAAUCUGGCUGAUUUGUACCACAUUGUUGCUGAUCUUGCUAUUGAAAGUGGUAACUCAGUUCUACCCAAUAUUAGUAUGAUGAAAUAUAUGAUUUUAUAAAAUACACGAGUCGUAUUAUACUUCAUUAUUUUCAAAACUUUCUGCUGAAAUUAUCUAUUAUGGCCCUCCAAAAUAUGCAGGUCGAGUUCCAAAUAGGUGCCGGUAGAUUAUUUUCACAAACAAUAAGUAUACUGAAAUAUUUUACAUUAUACACCACAAUUUGACUCCUCAGAAUAUAAUAUACAUAUAUCAUUAUAAAUAGAUAUAUUCAAUAAUUUAUUCAUAUACUCUUACAUUUGUCAUGAAAAAAAUGGCUUCUUCUCACUUUGUGGUAGGACUUCGUAGAAGUCGAAGGAACCAAACUCCAUCAGAAAAUUGAGGCGAAAAUCAAUAACGAUGAAGGAUAUCCAGUAAUCCUUAGGAGGAUUAUAGGAAUAUCUCCUUAUAAUGGUACGAGUGUACUCAGUUUUCUUCCUUAUAUAUUUUUUAUAGAGAAAAAGAGAAUACAAUAUUACACAAAGAUUGUAGCAUAAAGAGGUUUAUCACUGCAAACUAUAUUCAACUUAACAAUAUAAAAAUAGAUCGCCGCUUAUCCAUAAGCGUUCGAGUUGAUCAAUUGUUAUAAGAUUUUUUAUUGUUAUUCUCAGACUAAAAUAUGUAAGUGUACACCAAUAUUGAUUACCCUGUAUAUUGUGAUGAAUUCAAACAAAGACAUGCUUGUAAGUUAUGCAUCAGACAACUUCUCGCGAUCAUUCGACUUCCAGAAGUCGAAGGAACCAAACUGCAACAGAAAAUUGAGCCAAAAAUCAAUGACGAUGAAGGAUAUCCAAUAAUCCAUAGAAGGAUUAUAGGAAUUUAUAAUGGUACGAGUGUACUCAGAUUUCUUCCUUAUAUAUUUUUUUAUAGAGAAAAAGAGAAUACAAUAUUAGACCAAGAUUGUGGCAUAUACAGGUUUAUUACUGCAAGCUAUAUUCAACUCAACAAUACAAAUAGAUCCCCGCUUAUCCAUAAGUGUUGGAGUUGAUCAACUGAGCAAAUUCAAACAAAGACAUGCUUGCAAGUUAUGCAUCAGACAAUUUCUCACGGUCAUCCGCCCCUCUCAUGAUGAUUCCUGCUCAACAACAAAUUAUCCUCAUUGGAAAAAUUCAGUCACAAACUUCGAAAUUUCAAUAUCAAAUGACAUGUAGUAGUUUUUGUGUGCUUGAGUGCUUGGGCUGCAAAUAAAAGUUGCGAGCGAAGGAAAGAAGAGAUUUUGACUGCACCAAGUGUAAAUGGACAACAUUAUUUCCUCGGUAAUUUUGGGUGAUGUAGCUGAAAAAAUGCUCGACAUGACAGCAAACGAUAUAUUUGACACAACAUGUGACAGAUACAAACUUAGACCAAUUAAUUAUUUUGUAUUAGUAUAUUUUAUGUAUAUUCUUAUUAUGUAACCCACAAUUUAAUUAUUUUUAGCAUGAAAAAUUCAUCUAUAUGUACUUUUACGGUACUUUCAUUUCAGCUUAGUUUACCUGGUACUUUAGAUCUAAAAAAUUAUCUUUCACUUUUAGAAAUAACUCACACACAUUAACAAUGUCCUAGAUAUGUUUUCGGACAGAAUCUUCCGAAUUCAAUUAAGAUAAUCAUUCUUGAAAAGUUCUGACAAUGUGCAUACAAGUCUAUCAGUGUUGUCCUACAUAGAAAAGGAACAGGUCUUUGCACCAAAUAUUAGCGAGAGAAGCAAAACGUAAGUCAAGACUCUAGGAACAAAUGAGGUCGAAAUGGAAAGAACAAAUGUGAUAUCUGAAUCUUCAAGCGCAGGGCUGAAACUAGAACCAUCAACACCAUAAAAAAAAUUAUAAAAGGUGAGUCCCAUUAUGUAUGCGUGAGAUUUUCUUCUUUCCUCUGGAUUCUUAAUUGAUAUAAUUAUACUAUAAUGCAGCUUAGAAUUGCUUUUUUCUCACAAAAUUGUCUUCUUUUUACUCUUAUUUAUGCUUGCCAACCGCAAGAAGUAUCUACCUUUUUAGGAUCUUUUGCCACCGGAAAAGAAAUCCGUUUUGGGUUCACAUAUGUACGGUAAAGUCUUACACCUCUUCCCCUUCACAGUUUUGUCUAUUCUGUAACUUAAUCCAUUGAACUUGUGAAUGAAAAUGGAUCUUAACUUUGUUUUUGUGUUUGUUCCUGAUACAUUUAGUUUAUUAAAAAUUAUCUGGAGAGAAAACUACACUCCCAUUCUCAUAGCUCUCUUGAUGUUCUGUUACUUAAUUGGUUUUGCCUAAAUCCUCUUCAAUAGGUUGAUAUUACAAUUUUCAAUCCUUUACAUAUUAGCAUGUCACAAGCCGAUUGAAUUUAUACUUCAAGUACAGAGAUAGAGUGAGCAGUAUCCCAAAGAAUUUUAAGUAUUCGCUUUUACUAAUUUUACUGUCGUUCUGUAUCAGCAA